Molecule: ribosomal RNA, 253 nt
Filed under: uncultured bacterium
Lineage: Bacteria
Description: partial 16S ribosomal RNA
Rfam family: Bacterial small subunit ribosomal RNA
Source: RNAcentral
CACGUAGGGGCCAAGCGUUGUCCGGAUUUAUUGGGCGUAAAGGGCUCGUAGGCGGCCAACUAAGUCAGACGUGAAAUCCCUCGGCUUAACCGGGGAACUGCGUCUGAUACUGGAUGGCUUGAGGUUGGGAGAGGGAUGCGGAAUUCCAGGUGUAGCGGUGAAAUGCGUAGAUAUCUGGAGGAACACCGGUGGCGAAGGCGGCAUCCUGGACCAAUUCUGACGCUGAGGAGCGAAAGCCAGGGGAGCAAACGGG